RNAcentral lists this ribosomal RNA (424 nucleotides) under uncultured bacterium. Its description in RNAcentral is "bacterial SSU rRNA". It matches the Rfam family "Bacterial small subunit ribosomal RNA", at positions 358 to 773 of the family's 1533-position model. The record is from RNAcentral.
GGAAUAUUGCGCAAUGGAGGAAACUCUGACGCAGCGACGCCGCGUGAGCGAUGAAGGCUUUCGGGUCGUAAAGCUCUGUCGAAAGGGAAGAAAAACAGUCCUGUGAAUAACUGGAUUGCUUGACGGUACCUUUAAAGGAAGCACGGGCUAACUACGUGCCAGCAGCCGCGGUAAUACGUAGGGUGCUAGCGUUGUUCGGAAUCAUUGGGCGUAAAGCGCGUGUAGGUGGCUAUGCAAGUUGGAUGUGAAAUCCCUCGGCUCAACCGAGGAAGUGCAUCCAAAACUACAUGACUAGAGGACGGUAGAGGAAGGUGGAAUUCCUAGUGUAGAGGUGAAAUUCGUAGAUAUUAGGAGGAAUACCGGUGGCGAAGGCGGCCUUCUGGGCCGUUCCUGACACUGAGACGCGAAAGCGUGGGGAGCAAAC